RNAcentral lists this long non-coding RNA (1028 nucleotides) under Homo sapiens (human). Its description in RNAcentral is "HSALNT0308389". Lineage: Eukaryota; Metazoa; Chordata; Mammalia; Primates; Hominidae. The record is from RNAcentral.
GAAGAGGAGGCCUGGCUAGCAAAGGUAGUCUUGCCUGCCGGGUAGCAGCCCUCAGAGAGAAUAGAAGGUAAAUGAUUCCUUCAGACCUUUGAAGGUGUCAGACUUCCAGUUAAUCUUUCCUAGAUCCAGCCAAGGGAAAGUCUCAGAGAAAGCCUGGCUGCAGCAAUGUAUAGCUUCCAGAUGCAUAUUUUCCUGACAAUAGACAGCUUUCCAGGGCUACUUCUCUUUGCAGGCCCUCUGAAGAGCCAUCACAAAGAGAAUUUGACCUUGUUCCCUGAAGUUUGUGAGCAUAGAGUAUGAAGUCUGUUCCUUGUCUAGACAUGGGAUUGGCUGGAGCUGCACCUUAGAGCAAAGAGGAGAGCCAAGAUUGUAGUGGGAGUAAGCCACAAUUCUACAGUACUCAGGGUUACUGGGACCCAGUAAGACCUGACCUGGAAUGUAAGAGAGGAAGACUUGAAGAAGAAGAAAGAGUGAAGUUUGGAUAUUAAAGAAGGCUGAACCUGUAUAGUAUCUUUUUUUUGUUUUUUGUUUUUUGUUUGUUUGUUUGUUUGUUUGUUGAGAUGGAGCCUUACUCUGUCACCCAGGCUGGAGUGCAGUGGUGCCAUCUCGGCUCAAUGCAACCUCCAUCUCCUGGGUUCAAACAAUCCUCCUGCCUCAGCCUCCCAAGUAGUUGGGACUACGGGUGUGUGCCAUCAUGCCUGACUAAUUUUUGUAUUUUUAGUAGAGAUGAGGUUCAUUAUGUUGACCAGGCUGGUCUUAAACUCCUGACAUCAAGUGAUCUGCCUGCCUCGGCCUCCCAAAGUGCUGGGAUUACAGGUGUGAGCCACUGUACCUGGUCCCAUGUAGUAUCUUGAAAUAAGAUUAUUACAAAAGUGAAAAGCACUGGAAAAGUUACAGAGUUUGCUCAAGAUAUUGUCUGGGGUCAGGAAAAAGAGAUUGGACAGAGCAAGUCUGAAGCACAAGCACGGCAGAAAAAGAAAAUAAAGCCAUUUCCUGACUGCACUUUAUAGGGUCCUGCCUGAUUAAUA